Non-coding RNA from Salvelinus sp. IW2-2015, 102 nucleotides. Lineage: Eukaryota; Metazoa; Chordata; Actinopteri; Salmoniformes; Salmonidae. The record is from RefSeq and is a predicted model, not a curated record.
UCAAUGGAAAACAUGCAGCAAAUUAGGCGAUGGUGGUGCCUAGUUCUCCUGCAGAACUUUCCCAUGCCGUCUGAAGAAGAGAGGUUGAAAGAUCGAAAAAGG